RNAcentral lists this long non-coding RNA (226 nucleotides) under Elaeis guineensis (African oil palm). RNAcentral describes it as "long non-coding RNA (EGUI_LNC058300)". The record is from RNAcentral. Lineage: Eukaryota; Viridiplantae; Streptophyta; Magnoliopsida; Arecales; Arecaceae.
GAGAAGAGCACCAUCAAGAUUGAGGAGGUUAUUUCUGCACUACUCCAAAAUGAAAUCCUCAGGAGGGACAAUCAAGCCUCGAGUUCAGGUGGUGACUCAGCUUAGGCAAUGACUGAAGGUAGUGGUGGCAGAAGAUGAAGCAACAAAGAAUUGCAACAUGGACGGUCCAAGUCUAAGAUGAGUAACUCAAGCAAGAUUAGGUUUUACCAAUGUGAUGAGUUGGGGC